GGGGGCCUGUGAAAUCAGUUUGCUGCAAUUUGACGUGACUGGAAUUGUUGCACUUUUCGCGGGCCCAGAGAAAUACUUUCGGUGUUAAUCAUAGACUAUAUAUCUGGUAAUCAAUACCAUAGCCUAUUUCAUGUCCGUUUAACAUAU
RNAcentral lists this small nucleolar RNA (147 nucleotides) under Drosophila yakuba. RNAcentral describes it as "snoRNA:GE27170". Lineage: Eukaryota; Metazoa; Arthropoda; Insecta; Diptera; Drosophilidae. The record is from RNAcentral.